AUGUGAAUUAGCUGGGGAUUUUGUUGAGAUGCAGGUUCUGAUUCAGUGUAUCUGGAAUAGGGUCCUAGACUCUGCAUUUCCAAGAAACUCUCAGGCAAUGCCAUG
RNAcentral lists this microRNA precursor (105 nucleotides) under Marmota monax (woodchuck). Lineage: Eukaryota; Metazoa; Chordata; Mammalia; Rodentia; Sciuridae. The record is from RNAcentral.